GAGAGUAUAGCUCAAGUGGUAGGGCACUUGCCUAGCAUACAUGAGGUCCUGGGUUCAAUCCCCAGUACCUCCU
RNAcentral lists this transfer RNA (73 nucleotides) under Camelus bactrianus (Bactrian camel). It matches the Rfam family "tRNA". From Rfam's summary of the family: Transfer RNA (tRNA) molecules are approximately 80 nucleotides in length. Their secondary structure includes four short double-helical elements and three loops (D, anti-codon, and T loops). Lineage: Eukaryota; Metazoa; Chordata; Mammalia; Artiodactyla; Camelidae. RNAcentral also lists the same sequence under 2 other names. The record is from Rfam by way of RNAcentral.